UACGGGGGGGGCAAGCGUUGUUCGGAAUUACUGGGCGUAAAGGGCUCGUAGGCGGCCAACUAAGUCAGACGUGAAAUCCCUCGGCUUAACCGGGGAACUACGUCUGAUACUGGAUGGCUUGAGUUUGGGAGAGGGAUGCGGAAUUCCAGGUGUAGCGGUGAAAUGCGUAGAUAUCGGAAGGAACUCCGGUGGCGAAAGCGACGUGCUGGACCUCUUCUGACGCUGAGGCGCGAAAGCUAGGGGAGCGAACGGG
Molecule: ribosomal RNA, 253 nt
Filed under: uncultured bacterium
Lineage: Bacteria
Description: partial 16S ribosomal RNA
Rfam family: Bacterial small subunit ribosomal RNA
Source: RNAcentral